This 545-nucleotide long non-coding RNA is filed under the name Mus musculus (house mouse). RNAcentral's name for it is "predicted gene, 47007". Lineage: Eukaryota; Metazoa; Chordata; Mammalia; Rodentia; Muridae. The record is from RNAcentral.
AGGAAAUCAACUUCAGAUUAGCUGCCGAUGGCAUGUGUGAGGAGUGUGAGAAUAUACGUGUGUCCAUGCGUGCAUGCACACACUCAACAUACAGUUUCCUAUAGAAACUUAUCAUCUCCUCUUGCUCCUGUAAGAAUGAAGGCCGUGGCUGGUGCCUAAGUUACCUCUCACUUAGGUUCAGCAAGCUUCCAGGAAGAAGAGAUCAGUGUGAGGUGCGAGGAGGUGGUGCUGAACUCUGGCCUGAAGCUCUGCAAAGAGAUUCAGGGGUCAGGUUGUAGCCAUGGAGGGCCCGACUCUUCAUUAAGAUUUGGUUUCCAAGGCUCCCCUAGUUUUUGAGGCUUUGGCCUCUGGCUCCCUUGGAUUUCUGCGGCUUCAGGCUGAGUUGCUUGUCCUUAUCCUGACCUCCGGGGGAUUUCUUUUUAUAAUGAGAGAGGCUGGUGUUGCUUUCAUUUUCUCCAUUCGGUGUUCACAGCUGCCAUGUGGUAAGCCCACGAGCGGUCUCCCAACUUGGACAGCUUCCUACAGAACAACAGUUACCUGUAUCC